AGAAGAAGAGGGAGAAAGAAGUAGAAAGGGAAGGAGGAGGAGGAGGAGGACAAGGAGAAGGAGAGGAAGGAGAAAGUGGAUUUAUGUGAGCACAGAGAGGGUUUAGCUCAGGGGGAAAAGGCACAGAAGAUGAUGAUUCAUUUUCAGCAGAGUUCGGUGUUUCUAUGAGCCAUGAGGGAAGAUUGGAGGAGCAAGGAAAGGCUGGAAAAGGAAACGGGGCCCUGAGAAGCAGCUCAGGUUCCAACCCCAGCCAUUCGAGCAGCAGAAAAAAAACCCCCAAACCUUCAAAAGGUCAUGAGAAAAUCCAAUCCCAUCCCAACUCAAAGGCAGAUUGAUAUUUCCUCUUCCACUUCUGGGAUUCAUCCCUGCCUUUCCUAUUAAAAUUAAUGCUGGGAGCGCGUCCCGGCUCCUGGGCA
This is a long non-coding RNA of Corvus hawaiiensis (hawaiian crow), 416 nucleotides long. RefSeq lists it as uncharacterized. The record is from RefSeq and is a predicted model, not a curated record. The transcript is spliced from 2 exons. Lineage: Eukaryota; Metazoa; Chordata; Aves; Passeriformes; Corvidae.